UGCAAGUCGAGCGAAUGGAUUAAGAGCUUGCUCUUAUGAAGUUAGCGGCGGACGGGUGAGUAACACGUGGGUAACCUGCCCAUAAGACUGGGAUAACUCCGGGAAACCGGGGCUAAUACCGGAUAACAUUUUGAACCGCAUGGUUCGAAAUUGAAAGGCGGCUUCGGCUGUCACUUAUGGAUGGACCCGCGUCGCAUUAGCUAGUUGGUGAGGUAACGGCUCACCAAGGCAACGAUGCGUAGCCGACCUGAGAGGGUGAUCGGCCACACUGGGACUGAGACACGGCCCAGACUCCUACGGGAGGCAGCAGUAGGGAAUCUUCCGCAAUGGACGAAAGUCUGACGGAGCAACGCCGCGUGAGUGAUGAAGGCUUUCGGGUCGUAAAACUCUGUUGUUAGGGAAGAACAAGUGCUAGUUGAAUAAGCUGGCACCUUGACGGUACCUAACCAGAAAGCCACGGCUAACUACGUGCCAGCAGCCGCGGUAAUACGUAGGUGGCAAGCGUUAUCCGGAAUUAUUGGGCGUAAAGCGCGCGCAGGUGGUUUCUUAAGUCUGAUGUGAAAGCCCACGGCUCAACCGUGGAGGGUCAUUGGAAACUGGGAGACUUGAGUGCAGAAGAGGAAAGUGGAAUUCCAUGUGUAGCGGUGAAAUGCGU
This 655-nucleotide ribosomal RNA is filed under the name Bacillus sp. CH164b. Its description in RNAcentral is "bacterial SSU rRNA". It matches the Rfam family "Bacterial small subunit ribosomal RNA", at positions 56 to 691 of the family's 1533-position model. Lineage: Bacteria; Bacillati; Bacillota; Bacilli; Caryophanales; Bacillaceae. The record is from RNAcentral.